AGCGAACGCUGGCGGCAGGCUUAACACAUGCAAGUCGAACGGUCCUUCGGGAUAGUGGCGAACGGGUGAGUAACACGUGGGAACGUACCCUUAGGUUCGGAACAACACAGGGAAACUUGUGCUAAUACCGGAUAAGCCCUUCGGGGGAAAGAUUUAUCGCCUUUGGAGCGGCCCGCGUCUGAUUAGCUUGUUGGUGAGGUAAUGGCUCACCAAGGCUACGAUCAGUAGCUGGUCUGAGAGGAUGGCCAGCCACACUGGGACUGAGACACGGCCCAGACUCCUACGGGAGGCAGCAGUGGGGAAUCUUGCGCAAUGGGCGAGAGCCUGACGCAGCCAUGCCGCGUGGAUGAUGAAGGUCUUAGGAUUGUAAAAUCCUUCCACCGGGGACGAUAAUGACGGUACCCGGAGAAGAAGCCCCGGCUAACUUCGUGCCAGCCGCCGCCGUAA
RNAcentral lists this ribosomal RNA (447 nucleotides) under uncultured bacterium. RNAcentral describes it as "partial 16S ribosomal RNA". It matches the Rfam family "Bacterial small subunit ribosomal RNA", at positions 29 to 523 of the family's 1533-position model. The record is from RNAcentral.